GUGAGGAAUUUUGCGCAAUGGGGGCAACCCUGACGCAGCGACGCCGCGUGGAGGACGAAGUCUUUCGGGAUGUAAACUCCUGUCAGUGGGGACGAUAAUGACGGUACCCACAGAGGAAGCACCGGCUAACUCCGUGCCAGCAGCCGCGGUAAGACGGAGGGUGCAAGCGUUGUUCGGAAUUACUGGGCGUAAAGCGUACGUAGGCGGCAAGUUAAGUUCAAUGUUAAAGCCCACGGCUCAACCGAGGAGAUGCAUUGAAUACUGGCUAGCUAGAGGGUGUUAGAGGAAGACGGAAUUCCCAGUGUAGCGGUGAAAUGCGUAGAUAUUGGGAGGAACAUCGGUAGCGAAAGCGGUCUUCUGGGACACACCUGACGCUGAGGUACGAAAGCGUGGGGAGCAAACGGGAUUAGAUACCCCUGUAGUCC
RNAcentral lists this ribosomal RNA (425 nucleotides) under uncultured bacterium. RNAcentral describes it as "partial 16S ribosomal RNA". It matches the Rfam family "Bacterial small subunit ribosomal RNA", at positions 354 to 796 of the family's 1533-position model. The record is from RNAcentral.